AGGGAAACCGAGUCUUAACUGGGCGUUAAGUUGCAGGGUAUAGACCCGAAACCCGGUGAUCUAGCCAUGGGCAGGUUGAAGGUUGGGUAACACUAACUGGAGGACCGAACCGACUAAUGUUGAAAAAUUAGCGGAUGACUUGUGGCUGGGGGUGAAAGGCCAAUCAAACCGGGAGAUAGCUGGUUCUCCCCGAAAGCUAUUUAGGUAGCGCCUCGUGAACUCAUCUUCGGGGGUAGAGCACUGUUUCGGCUAGGGGGUCAUCCCGACUUACCAACCCGAUGCAAACUGCGAAUACCGAAGAAUGUUAUCACGGGAGACACACGGCGGGUGCUAACGUCCGUCGUGAAGAGGGAAACAACCCAGACCGCCAGCUAAGGUCCCAAAGUCACAGUUAAGUGGGAAACGAUGUGGGAAGGCUCAGACAGCCAGGAUGUUGGCUUAGAAGCAGCCAUCAUUUAAAGAAAGCGUAAUAGCUCACUGGUCGAGUCGGCCUGCGCGGAAGAUGUAACGGGGCUAAACUGUGCACCGAAGCUGCGGCAGCGACGCUUAUGCGUUGUUGGGUAGGGGAGCGUUCUGUAAGCCUGCGAAGGUGUCCUGUGAGGGAUGCUGGAGGUAUCAGAAGUGCGAAUGCUGACAUAAGUAACGAUAAUGCGGGUGAAAAGCCCGCUCGCCGGAAGACCAAGGGUUCCUGUCCAACGUUAAUCGGGGCAGGGUGAGUCGACCCCUAAGGCGAGGCCGAAAGGCGUAGUCGAUGGGAAACGGGUUAAUAUUCCCGUACUUGGUGUUACUGCGAAGGGGGGACGGAG
RNAcentral lists this ribosomal RNA (806 nucleotides) under Salmonella enterica subsp. enterica serovar Kentucky. RNAcentral describes it as "partial 23S ribosomal RNA". It matches the Rfam family "Bacterial large subunit ribosomal RNA", at positions 670 to 1477 of the family's 2925-position model. Lineage: Bacteria; Pseudomonadati; Pseudomonadota; Gammaproteobacteria; Enterobacterales; Enterobacteriaceae. The record is from RNAcentral.